AGAUUAAACUGAAGAGUUUGAUCCUGGCUCAGAUUGAACGCUGGCGGCAUGCUUUACACAUGCAAGUCGAACGGCAGCACGGGUGCUUGCACCUGGUGGCGAGUGGCGAACGGGUGAGUAAUAUAUCGGAACGUAUCCGGAAGUGGGGGAUAGCUCGGCGAAAGCCGGAUUAAUACCGCAUAUGCCCUGAGGGGGAAAGGGGGGGAUCCGCAAGGACCUCUCGCUUUCGGAGCGGCCGAUAUCAGAUUAGC
RNAcentral lists this ribosomal RNA (251 nucleotides) under Gallionellaceae bacterium CG1_02_60_325. Its description in RNAcentral is "partial 16S ribosomal RNA". It matches the Rfam family "Bacterial small subunit ribosomal RNA", at positions 1 to 245 of the family's 1533-position model. The record is from RNAcentral. Lineage: Bacteria; Pseudomonadati; Pseudomonadota; Betaproteobacteria; Nitrosomonadales; Gallionellaceae.